This 268-nucleotide ribosomal RNA is filed under the name uncultured bacterium. RNAcentral describes it as "partial small subunit ribosomal RNA". It matches the Rfam family "Bacterial small subunit ribosomal RNA", at positions 26 to 282 of the family's 1533-position model. The record is from RNAcentral.
AGAAUCAACGCUGGCGGCGUGCCUAACACAUGCAAGUCGAACGCGAAAGGGGCUUCGGCCCUGAGUAGAGUGGCGAACGGGUGAGUAACACGUGGGUGAUCUACCUCUGAGUGGGGGAUAACGGUCCGAAAGGACGCUAAUACCGCAUGACGUUCUGGGUUUGAAGACCUGGAAACCAAAGUCGGGGACCGCAAGGCCUGACGCUUGGAGAGGAGCCCGCGCCUGAUUAGCUAGUUGGUGAGGUAACGGCUCACCAAGGCAACGAUCA